AGUGUAUACCCAAUUAAUAAAUGGGUGGAUGAACUAAACAGACACCUCAAAAAAGAAGUAUAGAAGGCCAACAAAUAUAUGAAAAAAAUUUCAACAUCUUUAGCAAUUAGGGAAAUGCAUAUUAAAACUACACUGAGAUUUUGUCUCAUUCUAGUCUGAAUGGCAGCCAUUAAGAAUAUGAAAAAUAAUAGGGGAGCUCGGAUUGUGGCUCAGUGGUGGAACACUUGCCUUGCACAUUUGAGGCAUUGGGUUUGAUCCUCAGCACCACUUAAAAAUAAACAAAUACAAUAAAGGUAUUGUGUCCAGCUAAAACUAAAUAUAUAUAUAUAUAUUUUUAAAAGAAUAUAAACAAUAAUUAAUAUUGGAAAGCAUGUAGAGAAAAGGGAACAAUUUCACACUGUUGGUAGAAUUGUAAAUUAGUACAGAUGCUAUGGAAAUCAAUAUGGAUGUUCCUUAAAAAACUAGGAAUGGAACCACCACAUGACCUAGCUAUACCAUUUCUUGGGAUUUAUGCAAAAGAAUUCAUAUUGACAUACUAUAGCAAUACAUACCCAUGUUUAUAGCAGUGCAAUUCAUAUUAGCCAAGUUAUGGAACUAACCAGGCGUCCGCCAGUUGAUGAAUGGAUAAAGAAAAUUUGGUAUGUAUACAAAAUGGAAUUUCAUUCAGCCAUAAGGAAUGAAAUUAUAUCAUUUGUAGGAAAAUGGAUGGAACUUGAGAACAUUAUUUUCAGCAAAGUCAAGGGUCAUAUGCUUUCUCUCUUAUGUGGAAGGUGGAGAGAAAAAAGGAAAAGAAGGGGAUGGGGAAUCUCGUGAAGAUCAAAGGGAGACCAGUACACCAGAGAAAAGGGACCAAGUGGAGGAGGAGAGGUAGAAUAGGGAAAUAAUGGGAAAUGAUAUUGACCAAAUUAUUAUGUUGUGUGUGUGUGUGAAUAUGAAACAAUGAAUCCCACCAUUAUGUAUAAUUAACAAUGCAGGGGCUGGGGAUGUGGCUCAAGCGGUAGCGCGCUCGCCUGGCAUGCGUGCGGCCUGGGUUCGAUCCUAGCACCACAUACAAACAAAGAAUUUGUGUCCGCUGAAAACUAAAAAAUAAAUAUUAAAAUUUUAAAAAAAAAUUAACAAUGCACCAAUAAAAACAGGGUAAAAAAGAUAUAAGCAAAACAACAACAACAACUUUGUGUGAAACUUAGUAGUAGAUACAUGUCAUCAUACAUUGAUCCCAGCAUCGCAUUUGGAAUGUAAGUCAAAAGGGAACCUAAUGUAACUGUGGGCUUUGGGUGAUAAUGAUGUGUUGUUGAGGUGCAUCAUUUAUAACAGGUUACCACUUUGGCAGAAGAUGUGCAUAAUGAGGAAGGGUAUGCACAUGUAGGAGUAAGGGGAAAUGGGAAGUCUGUCUACCCUCCUCUCAGUUUUGCUCUAAACCUAAAAUUGCUCAAACAAAAUAAAGUUAUAAUUAAAAAGGGGAGAGAUUAUCAUUUUCCAGGCAAAUACAGAAAGAGAUUUACUGAAAGUGUCUUUUUAGGCCAUGAUAUCAGCUAAGGGAAUAAACUGGCUAUUCUAUGCAAGAGACUAUAUGGUCUAAAAUUAGGCCAGCCAGACAUUUGUGGUUUUGUGGUUUCACUUAGACUUGAAAAAUGUUAAUACUGUGCUGUGACAAACAGGAGAUAAACUGAAGAUUCUGAUAGAAAGAACAUAUCUGAUCAUUUGAAUCAUGUCAGGCUAGAAGCUACUUGUGUUUCACAGCUUUUUAAAUGAAGACAGAAAGGCAAAAGUUUGUCUAACAUCUUCUGUGGGUGAUGUCAUAAUCUUUAUUACAUUCAGAUUAGGGGAGAAGAGACUACUCUGGGUGCCAUGUUUGAUUUGCUUGGAGAUUGUUGGUUUAAUGCUUAGAAAUCAUCAUGACUUGUCUUAAUCUUCCUGUAUAUUUCUCUUGCUUUCAAAUUUAUCUUUCUAGUCUAUCCAAAAUAAGUUAUUUACUGUCUUAAACAUGACAUACUGAUUUCCAUUAUCUGAGCCUUUGUCCAUGCUUUCCUUCUGUCUAGAAUAUUUUGCUUGAGUCUUACCUUCAGGUAUUCCCGUCUCUUUUUUCUUUUUUUGGUACCAGGAGGGAUGAAUCUAGGGGGGCUUAACCACUGAGUCAUAACUCCAGCCCUUUUUUAUAUUUUACUUAGAGACAAGGUCUCGCUGAGUUGCUGAGGCAUGCAAUCUGCCUGCCUCAGCCACUCCAGCUGCUGGGAUUAUAGGUAUGCACCCCUGCAUUGGGCCCAGGUACUCCCUUCUCAGUGCAGGCAGUCCACAGCUCACCUCUUACCUUUCCUUCACAGCAGGGAUUAUUUGAGCCAGUUGUUUUGGCUCAAAAUUUUACAGUGCUUUGCUGUUAUAUAUAUGGAUGUCUUAGAUCCUCACUGAAUUAUUUGAAGGCAGAGAGUAUACCUUUUGAGAGUCUUUCAGCACAGUUCUAGUUCCAAGUGAGUCCUCAGUGAGUAGUUUUUUGGGGGAGUGGGGGGUACUGGGGAUUAAACCCAGAGAUGCUCUAUCACUUAGUCAUAUCCCCAGCCUUUAAAAAAAAAAAAAAAAAGACUUUUUAUUUUGAGACAGGAUCUCACUAAGUUGCUGAGUCUGACCUUGAAUUUGCAAUCCUCAUGCCUGCCUCAGGUUCCUGAGUUGCUGCUGGGAUUGUAAGCUUGUGCCUCCACUCCUGGCUCAAUGAGUAAUUUUUUAAAUUGACUUCAGUCCAUUUCAGAAAACUUUCAGUGUCUCUCAAGCAGUAGAGGGUGGAGUACCAUCCCCUGUGACUUUUGCUCUUAAAGACCUCAGUUCUUAAGUGGCACUGUUUCCCAAAACCUCUGAUUUCAUACAGGUGUUUUUUAGUUUUAUAAAUAGAUGAAAUCCAAGGAAUUUGAACCAAAUGGUUUCUUAGGGCUCUUUGAGUUGUUCCCUUUCCUCUCUUACUCAGUGAUUUAAGGUUAGAUUGAGGAGCUAGGGUUGUGGUUCAGUGCUAGAGCACUUGCCUAGCACCUGUGAGGCACUGGGUUUGAUCCUCAGCACUACAUAAAAAUAAAUAAAUAAAGGUAUUGUGUCCAUCUACAACUUAAAAAAAAUAAAUAAACAAACAAAGAAAUAAAUAAAAGGUUAGGUUGGUGGGGGGCAGUACUAGGGAUUGAACCCAGAGGCACGCUGCCACUGGCAGUGUCUUCUCCUAAGUUGCCCAGGCUGGCCUUGAACUUGGGAUUCUCUGCCCUAGCCUUUUGAGUAGAUAAUAUUACAGGUAUGUGCCAUCAUAGAAUUCCUUUUUGGUCACACUGGAAAUAGUUAAUUUUUCUAAUACAAAUAUGUUGUUGGCCCUAUUAUCCCAAUAGAAAUUUUCUUUCUAAGAAACAUCCCUGAGAAUUGUGCUUCCU
Molecule: long non-coding RNA, 3398 nt
Filed under: Marmota monax (woodchuck)
Lineage: Eukaryota; Metazoa; Chordata; Mammalia; Rodentia; Sciuridae
Source: RNAcentral